This is a long non-coding RNA of Carassius auratus (goldfish), 2073 nucleotides long. NCBI's taxonomy places the organism in Eukaryota, Metazoa, Chordata, Actinopteri, Cypriniformes, Cyprinidae. The record is from Ensembl.
AUGUGGUCACUCCCAACCCACCUACCCACAUUCAAAGUUGAAGUGAUCACACACAGCAUAAGAACUUUACUAGCUAAACUGCCUACCUCAGAAUCACUUACGCUGGCUCCGUUGUCUACACAGACCUACAUAGUGGACAUGCGUGCUUCUGAAGCCUCCAUAAUGACUUUGUUUUACCACCUCUCAGACCCCUCCAUCCACCCUGGCAACCAGUCUACAGUCACUGACAACAAAAGCCCCAGACCACUGCAUGAUACACAAAACAUGCUGCGUGCACAGAACAAUAUUGUGGGUGGUGCACCGUCUGACAUCACAAUGCCAGGGCGUGUAAUGCCACGGAGCAAAAGGGGGAUAAUGCCAAUAUAUUUCCACGACGCAGCAUGUGCUGCACCACGCAGCACCAGAGCCACUGACAAAACACUGAAGCAAGCGUCAUGCCAGCAGCAAGAUGUGGCUAAACAUGGGCGAGAGCGAGCUAAACCCAGUCGCCGCCCACAAAGCAAAGAGACUGUCCUGUCCAACCAAAGACAGGCCUUGUUUGUUUCUUUCUCCCCUUUCUCUCUCUCUCUCCCUAUUAUCUGUACCAGGAUGCUGCUGUGGUUUGCCGUGCCGUGCUGUCAGCCAAAGAGAGGACAGCUGCCACCGAGAAAACCGCUGAGACUCCUGACUACCGAUGACAGGGCACACUACCCCAGCACUGUAACCGAAUACAGCUGUACAAGGUUCCGAUGGAGAGAGGACUCCCUCGCUCACACUGAGGCCAAUGUCAAACACAUGUUCAGCCAACAUGAGAAAGUGACUGUUACACAAAUGGAGUUAAGUGGACACCACCACCGCUCCAAACAGUUCCCGGGAGCUUUGCUUAGAGCCGCUGCUGCCGCCAGAAUGUUUAACAUUGUUAUGUCCAGUGUCAAUGCAGCGAACCAGACUGUAAACUCCUUGAAACCACUGUUUACUGUCUUCCAGAAGAACUUUACCCAGACUCAGCUGUUUACAGCAUUAACAACAGACAUGCUGUGGGAGGUUAGCUCCUCCACUGACAGCCUAACCACGAGUAAAACCCCACCAUACAUGAUACCCUUAAGCCUUGUGUUAAUUGUGCUGUCUUACGCCAUCACCAUGCCAGCUGACCUGCUACAAAUACACCUGGCCAACGCUCUGGAUAGUGCCUUCCUACGGCACGUCAACCCCAAACAGAGAGAAGUGAACGUGCUCCUGAACCAGCCCAUCAGUGAGUCAAGCCAAGUCUACAGACCUAAAGACAUUGUCAGUGUCAGGAUGUGGAAAAGCAACACCCACACCAAGACACACAUUCCAAAUGUGGUGGCCUACCACGACAGCGACACACAGCUGUACCUGGCCCCAAACAUGCACAUGUGUACUUUGUCCAAAGACAUUCAUUAUCUCUGCCUUAGCAAACCCUUCCUCAGACACAACUCUGAAGGAAUCUGCGAGCUGCCACCCUGGGUCAGCGAUACGCGCUGCCCUGCCGAAGCCAAGACUCGUACACAAGUCACAGAAACGCAAGCAGAGAUUGUGGGUAACAGAUGGCUCGUCAACACUCCUGUGCGCUCCGCUACACUGACCUACGACCAGCAUGACACCGCCACCCAUGCCAACCUGCUUGACCAAGUACUGAAAGGUACCACCCAACACAUUGACAUUACUCCUGUCAACACAGCCCUCCAAGCACUGUCUCAAAAGCCCAUUCUGAACCAGUCAUCUGCGGUCCUAGCCUGGACUGCUGCCGACACUGCACGGUGCAUCUCCACCGUCAUUGGUCCCGCCCUGACUCGUAGCGUGACCUUCAUCCUAUACAGGAUACUCAAUGAGAUGCAAACCUCUACAGCCAAACUCACGACAACUGUGGCUGGAGGUCUCCGAUGGAAUCCCCGGAAAAGGGGUGCCCAGUCAAAGACAACACCGAACCUCAUCAAGCGGAGUCCUCAGCUUCAAGAACCACCUGCCAUCAUGACCAUCACGAUUCACCUGUCAUCUGCCUAUCCUGAUGAUUGCCGUCCGAUGAUGUCCACACAGGGACUUCAUCUGACGAAAGGGGGAGAUGACAGGUGA